Molecule: ribosomal RNA, 497 nt
Filed under: uncultured bacterium
Lineage: Bacteria
Description: partial 16S ribosomal RNA
Rfam family: Bacterial small subunit ribosomal RNA
Source: RNAcentral
GACGAACGCUGGCGGCGUGCCUAAUACAUGCAAGUAGAACGCUGAAGAGAGGAGCUUCCUCUUCUUGGAUGAGUUGCGAACGGGUGAGUAACGCGUAGGUAACCUGCCUUGUAGCGGGGGAUAACUAUUGGAAACGAUAGCUAAUACCGCAUAACAAUGGAUGACACAUGUCAUUUAUUUGAAAGGGGCAAUUGCUCCACUACAAGAUGGACCUGCGUUGUAUUAGCUAGUAGGUGAGGUAAUGGCUCACCUAGGCGACGAUACAUAGCCGACCUGAGAGGGUGAUCGGCCACACUGGGACUGAGACACGGCCCAGACUCCUACGGGAGGCAGCAGUAGGGAAUCGUCGGCAAUGGGGGCAACCCUGACCGAGCAACGCCGCGUGAGUGAAGAAGGUUUUCGGAUCGUAAAGCUCUGUUGUAAGUCAAGAACGGGUGUGAGAGUGGAAAGUUCACACUGUGACGGUAGCUGACCAGAAAGGGACGGCUAACUACGUG